This 1980-nucleotide ribosomal RNA is filed under the name Triticum aestivum (bread wheat). Its description in RNAcentral is "partial small subunit ribosomal RNA". Lineage: Eukaryota; Viridiplantae; Streptophyta; Magnoliopsida; Poales; Poaceae. The record is from RNAcentral.
AUGGCGAUGCCUGCUGCUCUCAGGGCCUUAACUGUCUUGUAUGCGCUUGCAGUUCUUGCUGGAAAUCAGGUGGAAGGGCGGCACCAUCAGCCUGAUUGUCCUUCUUUCUCGUGCGGUCUUCUUGGAAACAUAUCGUCUCCAUUUCGUCGGGCAAGUGAUCCACCUGGGUGCGGCUAUCGAUCUUACGAGCUGGUUUGCAGUGAUACCAAGGCUACGAUACGCAUCGGCGGUGCAACUUACUAUGUGUCUGGCAUCAACUACAGUAAUUCUUCCUUAUGGGUUGUCGAUGCCGACUUGGAUUUACACAACAGCUGCCCUCUACCUCGGUGGAAUCCUCCAUACCCACACAACAACAUGGAAGUCGAAUUGGACCCCCUUGUAGAUACUCGGGCUUGCUUUGUAAAAUGCUCUCAGGAAGUAAAGGGCACUGGUACGUACAUGCCUGUUGCUUGCCUAAGCACCAAUGAUUCUUUUGUUUACGUGUUAACUGGCCUCAGAUCUACAUACAUGGAAUACCUUCAACCUUCUUGUGGGUACUUGGCCGUGACUCCUCGACCUUGGGACAGUCCGACGCUAGAAAAUGCAAGUUAUGCAGAUGUUGUGAAAUCCAUGAGGACUGGAUUUGCUGUUAAGUUUCCUUUCAGGUAUACUAGGGAGACCAUCAAGGGAUGCCUAAUAGACAUUGUUCGCCCCUUCUAUGAAGUGCCAGUGUCGAGUGAGGGCAUCAAGCGACUUAUUACAUACAGUCUUCUGGCUGAUGGAUAUUUGUUGGAUUGUGUAUUUAAUACUGCUGGAUUCCGAGGUGUUCCCGGUUUCAUCAUAAUAAUCAUCUUCUGGAUUCUGAAGUGGCUAGCAGUGUUAUGCAGGUUCAUGUUGGCACCACUGGCUGUGUUGAUUUUCCUAGCCUACAAGUGUUGGAAAACAAGAAUAACAAUCGAUGCGGUUGAGAAGUUCCUCCGAAUGCAGCAAAUGAUUGGUCCGACGAGGUACGCCUACACUGACAUCACAGCUGUUACAAGCCAUUUCAGAGAUAAGCUGGGCCAGGGAGGCUACGGCUCUGUGUUUAAGGGUGUGUUGUUGCCAGGCAAUGUUCACGUCGCGGUCAAGAUGCUAGACGGUAACUCCAAUUGUAAUGGAGAGGAUUUUAUCAGUGAAGUUUCAACCAUUGGCAGGAUCCACCAUGUUAAUGUGGUGCGUUUACUGGGUUUUUGCCCGGAGGAAAUGAGACAAGCGCUCAUCUACGAGUACAUGCCUCGAGGUUCUCUCGACAAGUACAUCUUCUCAGCUGAGAGGAGUUUUUCUUGGGAUAAGCUUGCCGAGAUCGCUUUGGGCAUAGCCAGGGGCAUCGACUACCUGCAUCAGGGCUGCGAGAUGCAAAUUCUCCACUUCGACAUCAAGCCCCACAACAUUCUUCUCGACAACAAUUUUGUCCCAAAAGUAGCUGACUUCGGUCUCGCCAAGCUGUACCCAAGGGAUAAGAGUUUUGUGCCAUCGAGAGCCCUACGGGGAACUGUUGGGUACAUAGCUCCUGAGAUGAUAUCUCGGAGCUUUGGCGUCAUAUCAAGCAAGUCUGAUGUUUACAGCUUUGGGAUGCUGUUGCUGGAGAUGGCUGGAGGAAGAAGGAACGCCGAUUCUAAUGUGGCAAACUCAAGCCAACCAUACUACCCAUCGUGGGUGUAUGACCAGCUAACUCAACAAGACAAUAUUGGUGAGAUAUCUGCUCAUGUUGAUACUGUGAUGCACGAACUGGAGAGGAAGCUAUGUAUUGUUGGACUUUGGUGCAUUCAGAUGAAGUCUCAUGAUAGGCCAACGAUGAGUGAGGUUAUAGAUAUGCUCGAAGGUAGCGUCGAUGCAUUGCAGAUGCCUUCCAGGCCAUUCUUCUGUGAUGAAGGGCACACCCAUACCGAGUGUACUUACCACUUGUCGUCCGAGUUGACUGAAAUCUGUGAGGAGGAUAUGAGUGAAAAUAUUGGUGUGUGA